GAGACAAAGCUAGAUAAGCUGCGGGCGGCGCUGCAGUAGUCAGUUAUGCUCAGAGCGGCCGUGAGAGAAGAUGCAUUCAUUUUGCGCGGGGACGUGACGUAUCGUGUACAGAAGAAAAUACCGGUUGUUACAAGAUUUACGAGUGGAGACAUUCCUAUUAGAGUUUAAGUUGUCUUUGAUAAUCUUAUAUAUUAAUAAUGGUGAAGGCGAAAAAAGGUCGUUCAUCGUUCAAAACUCCAGCCUUUGGACAGGUCGUUCAUGAAACCCUUUAAGAAUGCCUAUAAUGAACAAUGUGGGAUGUGGAUAAGAGCUAAUUCAGGGGCUAGAAUUACUGAAUUCGAUAUUGCUGGACUUGUUUCAGAUGCUUUUAAAAAGGUAGCACGUUAUGACAUAGCAGCAGCAUUUUUGUCAAACGGAUAUAUACCGAUAUAUCCGUUUGACAAAAAUAUUUUCAGUGAUUUGGAUUAUUUGCCAAGCGAUAUUACGAAUAUUCCAAUGGAAGAACGUUAUGAAAAUCUAGCCUAUCCAUCCAGUUCUUCACGUGCAGAUUUGAGGAAGUGAUUGAUAGACAUGCCCUUAGUAUUCCUCAAAAUUUACUGGAACAAGGCCUGUUGUGGAUAUUUUACCAGAAAGCCCAUUAAUGUUGCGAGAGAAACACAAGUCUCUCACCUCAGCCUUCUUCUAGCAAAGGCCCAGAAUCAGUGCAACUCGUGUAAAGAAUGGGCUCAAGAGGCAUGCGCUGAUAUUCCAGUGUGCUCUGAGAUGUAUAUUUGUGACAGGUGCCACCUUUACUAGAAGUGUUAGGUCAUAAGGACCAUUUUUAGGUAUGUUCGGUACUAGGUGCCACAUAAUGAUAAACCAAAAAUUAAUGCCCAUGAUUAGCUAUAAUUUUCACUAAGAAUUUGUAUUCUGUUAAUUAUUUGUUAAUUUACUUACAUGUCUAUGAUUGUCGUGUACCCAAUAAUGUGAAAUAAAUUAAUAGAAAUCAAUUCGUAUUUUUUUAAUGCCCUCUAAGCUUAGGUGUUCGGCACUGCGGGACUUCCCCCUACUACGAUGACUAUAUUAUACUUUAUAAAAAAAAAACAGACUACCAAAAUAUGAUGGGGCUCACAUUGACCUAAGAUUUUAUAAAACUGGCUAGUGAUAAAUUUAGCAAAAUUUUGAGACAACUCACGAUAAAAUUAUAUGUAUACGAGUUGCACUGUUUAUGAAAUUAAGAUCAAAUUGAAAAGCAUUUUAUGCAGACUUUGAACUCCUGCUGUCUUUAUGUAGGUAAACGGUUACUUGAGAUGAAAAAGGCUCCUUUUACCUGUCUUUUUCCAUGUUUCUAUUCCUAUCCCUCUCCCACACAAAACAUCGUGCGUAUAUAAUGCCCGGAGUUAAAAUUUAGAGGCAGCAUAAGAUUUUGCGAUUUUUAAACGUUUAAUCUUCUACGCCAGCUCUCCAUAACAUUCAUUCAACCAUUCAUGUUUGCAUGGUCUAUUUAUACAAUUCAAUUUCUACUAUUACAAGUAACAAAAUGGUUCAAUAAAAUUAAAGCACGGAAAACGUUUGAAGCAUAAUCAUAAAAUCAAAGCGUUGUUUAAAAACAGUUAAUGCAGUUUUAUGGGGACCCUGUGAUAUUUUCCGGUCUUUUGUGGACAGCAAGAGAAAGAUUUUGCUAAAUGCAUUUGAAUGGCAUUAGUGCAAUUUAAGACUGUUUGGCUGUAUGUAAAGUCGAAAUGCUGUGUUAUUUUUAUUACGACCUGUAUUUUGUUUUUAUAUAAGGUGCGUUGAGAUAAUUUCGCCGAAAUCACUUUAUCCUUUAUUUGUAGGGAACUUUCAGAUUUUUUUUAAAUCGAGAUGUUUUUCGUCUUGUUUAAUAUUAUGAGUUAUAAUCUUUAAAUAAUUAAAUUUGAAUCGGCAUGAUGCUUUAUUAAAAACUUCUUAGAAAAAAUAAACGGAAUUUAACACCUAAUACACAAAUUAAGUUCUGUUCAAUAUUUUUUUUUUCUGUUUGGUUAUUUCCGUUGCAGCGGAGAAUAGAAUAAUGGCAACCUUUAAUUUUCAUUCACGUCCAUAUACGAUCUACAUAAUAAGUAAAUAAGGUUCGUACAGACAAGUAUUAUUUUGUGGGGUAAUUUUCGUAAUUUGAGUCAAGAAUGCGUAUAAAGAAAUUAUUGUUUAUAUAGAUGUUCAGUAUGCGUUGCAAUCGAGUUACAACCCGCCCUGAAAAUAUAUGUACUCUGUGUACGAUCCUUACAAAUUUAUCUCAAUUAAUGGUUUUUCCUUAAUUCUUCAUAAUUAUGAGUAUCGCUGGUCAGUUGAGCUGACCACAAUUUUACUUUGGUAACCUAAUAUUUAUGUUUCUAGGUCAGAUAACAUCGACCGAUAAAUAUUGUUAUGUAAUUAUUGUGUAUAAAAUAUGUUUGGUACAUACCAUGUAUUUAUAUUUUAAGGAAAAUACUAUCAAUAAAUAGUUUUGAAUAUUUA
Long non-coding RNA from Amyelois transitella, 2472 nucleotides. RefSeq lists it as uncharacterized. The record is from RefSeq and is a predicted model, not a curated record. NCBI's taxonomy places the organism in Eukaryota, Metazoa, Arthropoda, Insecta, Lepidoptera, Pyralidae. The transcript has 2 exons.